Molecule: ribosomal RNA, 400 nt
Filed under: uncultured bacterium
Lineage: Bacteria
Description: bacterial SSU rRNA
Rfam family: Bacterial small subunit ribosomal RNA
Source: RNAcentral
UGAGGAAUAUUGCGCAAUGGCCGAAAGGCUGACGCAGCGACGCCGCGUGGAGGAUGAAGUCCGUUAGGAUGUAAACUCCUUUUGCAGGGGAUGAAUAGUUCCGAUUUAUCGGGACCUGACCGUACCCUGCGAAUAAGGAUCGGCUAACUACGUGCCAGCAGCCGCGGUAAUACGUAGGAUCCGAGCGUUGUCCGGAAUUACUGGGUGUAAAGGGCGUGUAGGUGGGUCUCUCAGUCGGGGGUGAAAUCCUGCAGCUCAACUGCAGAAUUGCUUCCGAUACUGGAGGUCUUGAGUGCGGCAGAGGGAGAUGGAAUUCAUGGUGUAGCGGUGAAAUGUGUAGAUAUCAUGAAGAACACCGGUAGCGAAGGCGGUCUCCUGGUCCGUUACUGACACUGAGGCG